Molecule: long non-coding RNA, 202 nt
Filed under: Lupinus angustifolius (narrow-leaved blue lupine)
Lineage: Eukaryota; Viridiplantae; Streptophyta; Magnoliopsida; Fabales; Fabaceae
Description: long non-coding RNA (LANG_LNC002591)
Source: RNAcentral
GCGUGUUGGUCAGUCUUUUGGUCAACUUGGACAAGGAAAUUGUCCACCAAUCGGAGGGUUGAGACGCACAUCUGAGACGGGAACACAUGGGGAAUAAUUGUCUUGUCCGUACCAAAUUGCUUUCCUUGGAAAUUUCUCUCUCCUUCACAUUGUUUCACAUAGCCUUCUUUUAAGUUUACAUUUGGACUUUUUUGGUGCUUAC